Molecule: ribosomal RNA, 407 nt
Filed under: Retropluma denticulata
Lineage: Eukaryota; Metazoa; Arthropoda; Malacostraca; Decapoda; Retroplumidae
Description: partial 16S large subunit ribosomal RNA
Rfam family: Bacterial large subunit ribosomal RNA
Source: RNAcentral
UUUAGUUUAAUGGCCGCGGUAUUUUGACUGUGCAAAGGUAGCAUAAUCAUUAGUUUUUUAAUUGAAAACUUGUAUGAAUGGUUUGACAUAAAAGGAGCUGUCUCUAUAGUAAAAGUUGAAUUUAACUUUUGAGUGAAAAGGCUUAAAUAGUUUAAAGGGACGAUAAGACCCUAUAAAGCAUUUUAUUGGGGUGAUAUAGGUAUAAUUGAUAACUGCUUAUUUUUAUAACAGUGGAUUGUUGAAUUGAUCUUUUUUAAAAAUUUUAAGGUUAAGUUACUUUAGGGAUAACAGCGUAAUUUCUUUUGAGAGUUCUUAUUAAAAGAGAAGUUUGCGACCUCGAUGUUGAAUUAAAAUUUCUAUAUAAUGCAGAAGUUAUAUAAGUAGGUCUGUUCGACCUUUAAAAUUUU